CACAGGCACUUCUGCCCUCGGUGAGAUCACAAAAGCUCAGCCGAUCACUGCCAGAUGCUCCAUCCCCACCGGAUCCUUUUUAUUUUAUGACGGUGAUAGCAGAAUCCAUUGGCAGGAAGAAAGGCCCAGAAGCGAACGGAACGCCGAUGCCAAGACUUCCCUCUUUGACACGCAAGAAGAGACGGGGCAAAGGACACUGGGAACGAGGGAGCCUCAGGUGGUGUACAUGAGCCUCUUCCCCUGCAUUUAAUCUUCACAACGACUCUGCGAGGUAGACUGGGCUAAGCGGUGGGGACUAGAACCCAGACGCCCCAAGCUCCAGUCCAGACUUCUAACCACUGGCUCCCACUGCACGGUGCCCCUGAACAAGCCCAUGAGGGGACGCAUGAAGGGGAAAGGAAGGGGCGCCCCCAGAAAGCAUGCACGGAAAUGCAAUGGGGCACCGGGGAUUGUCCCGGGAACAGAUGUGGAAUACCGGCAUGCCAGGAUAUCUGCCCGUCACCGAAGCAGUGGAGGAGGAGAAGGGCGUUCACUGGUGAUUUGCUUCCAUGUCCACCAGACCGGAAGAAGAGAAAGCUGAGUGCGGGAGAGACGAUAAUGGUUCCCGGUAGGGUUGGCGUGUCCCUGGCUGCCGUGAUUCUGCAGCGGGCGCUGAGUCAGCUGGAGACUUCACUCCCCCAGCUGUGCUGAG
Molecule: long non-coding RNA, 691 nt
Organism: Varanus komodoensis (Komodo dragon)
Lineage: Eukaryota; Metazoa; Chordata; Lepidosauria; Squamata; Varanidae
Exons: 3
Source: RefSeq, a predicted model, not a curated record